Molecule: long non-coding RNA, 1389 nt
Organism: Triticum aestivum (bread wheat)
Lineage: Eukaryota; Viridiplantae; Streptophyta; Magnoliopsida; Poales; Poaceae
Exons: 4
Source: RefSeq, a predicted model, not a curated record
AGCAUGGUCCAGGCCCAUCCCCUCAAAAAAAAAAAAAUCAUGGUCCAGGCCCUCCGCGGUCUCGACGGCGGCGGCGGCGGCGCCUCCAUGGCUGGCCGGUGGUGGGUGCGGCGAGGCGUUCGUGUGGGCUAUUCGAUUGUUUCACUCUCUUCUUCUCCUGUCAUCCCUGGGACAGCGGUAGUCGUGGCUCCGCCCGUGGUUAGCAACAACGGCAGCAGCGCCGCCGCCGGCCACCACCGAGAUAACCAACGCUGCUCCACGCACAGCACAACCCGGCCUCCCCUCCGGCUGGAUGGACUUACCUUCAAAUUGGUAUCAGAUCGAGAUUUAUUGUCAUGUCUGAUGUGUUGACAUCCCAACGUUUAUGCAUGCUUACAAAUUCAGACGAUAAUUAGCCAGCAUGAUCAAUGAUGCUUUGAUGCAUACCUUGCGCAGAGCUUUGUAUUUGGUUUGAAGCUUUGGUUCAGCAUGGUCCUCAUGACCUGUAGAUAGCCAUGGACCCUCUUGUGAUUGUGAGAUAUACCAUAUGCUGACGCGUUCAAUCGAAUAUGAUGUGUGAGCCUCGAACAUUACGAGUUUAUGACUACUCGUCGAGGUGUCCACUGAAGAUGACUAGCGGCACCUACGCAAUCGAAAAUUAGUGCAGAACAAAAAUCGCAGCAAUGACGGGAUAAGGUAAUUUGUAAGUCCUCCUUUUUCAACUAUUUCAUUGCAAAUCAAAUCCAAUACGAUACAUGGAAAUUCAAAACAGAGCUCAGGCACAUAUGCUCCCGCUUGAAGAAUAAAAUUGUGAAGAAACAGUGCAAGACCUGAAUUGACUAUAUCCCUCAAUUGCGUAGUAUUGGUACACUAUGGUGAUAUGAUCUUCAUGGCUUCUGUGGCACUCAGCGUUUUUCAGAUGUGACAAAGGCCUUAGGGGACACCUGCAGAUUCUGGAAACUCCCAAGUAACAUGCUUACCACCUUUGUCAUUGAUGGCUGGUUUCUUGGGUUCCACUGAAUAUUCUGCAGUAUUCCUGGUUAGUUGUGUAAAAAACUUCAAAUCCUUCUCAUUUUUCUUAGCAUGGCAGAAUAAACACUUCUUCACGUACAAUAAGGACCGCAAUGAUGUGGGCAACUUCAUAUCAAGUGGUGAUAUGGAUGGACUUCAGUCUUUUUGUAAUAAUCAGGUAAAUCACACAACCCCCUCUCUGUUAUUACCAUCUUAGUUAUUCAUUUGGUUUUGAUGUCUCAGUUGCUUAAGCUAGUCAACUUCAAUGUGCUUUUGAGCCAGUUAGCCAACGCCCAACAGUAUAGACACAUUCCACCAGAUCUGGUUAGUCACAUAAAUGGUAAACUUCUCUGUUUUCUUCUCUUAAUGAAAAAGUAGCGGUUCUGCUGUUUGCUCGGA